Long non-coding RNA from Carya illinoinensis, 1420 nucleotides. RefSeq lists it as uncharacterized. The transcript has 2 exons. The record is from RefSeq and is a predicted model, not a curated record. NCBI's taxonomy places the organism in Eukaryota, Viridiplantae, Streptophyta, Magnoliopsida, Fagales, Juglandaceae.
UGCAGAAAAAUGGGAGGGAAACUUAAACCAAGCCCCUCGAUGAGUUGCUCGAGCUGAGCCCAAAGAGUCUCACUCUCUGAACGAUCCCGUCUGUGGUCGCCGCCGUGGACUGAACUGGUUGUUGCGCUCACCGUUCGUCACACAUUCCAGAUUUGAGCCGCCGUCUACGUGGGUUGGACUCGAUUUCCAGAUCUGAGUAGUCGCGUCUCUGCUUCUUCCACUGCCACGGUUCUUGCGUAUUUCUUUCUCUUCUUUUGGACUUGAUUUUCUGUUGUUCUUCACACAUUCUCCUUUGGAAGUUGUUCUUAUUCUUAUUCUGCUUGCAAAAUGAAUUAAAAGGCGAAAUGCGACGUCUUUUUGGCAAAUAUCAGAGCUGGAAAGCAUUAUUUUUGUCUAAUCAUGUUCUCUAUUAGUUUUUCCUUUACAUCCUGUUUUUUAGACCACAUCUAGUCAUCUUCUAGCAGUUUCCCAUCACCUUUUAGGGUUUCGGUUCCACAUAACCAUCAGAAAGAUGCUAGUAGUUUCAUCCCAGCUGGAGAACACCUUCUCAAAAAUUAUAGAAUUCAUUCAUUUUAGAUUGAAGUGACUUAGAAGAUGAUGAUGGUGAUCAUGAUGAGUAGAUUUUAGCGGUGCAUGUUUUUUACAGGUUGAGAGAUCAGAUGGCCAUUCGGGGAGACCUUUUUGGCUCCCUUUCAAAGGACACAUAUAUCUAUCUGGGUCCCUCUUUAUUAAGAUCACAAGACACGUACCCUAAUGGAAUUCCUUUCUUGUUAUACGAAUGUGCUGGAGUGCUCUGCCUUGGAGUGGUGCUACUGCAUCUUGCUUCACUGGUGGCAUUGUCCUUUUGUGUAGCAGCCUGUGCAAGUCCUUUGGCUUUUUCCUCGUGUGGCAGACUGAUGCAGUGCUCUUUCCUUUUGUAUAGGAGUCGGUUAAAGUGCAAUUUCUUUAUCCUCAACACGCUUUAAGCCCCCAAAGAUGGAGAAAAAAGAUUUGCCUCAUUCCACCAAAUCGCCUUUCUUCUAAAUUUACCCAUCCCAGGAUUUGCCGAUACCCACCAAAUAAUUUUAAAAAAAUGAAAAUAAAAAACCAGUUGCUGAACCUUGAAAGUGACCAACUUUCUAUAUAUAUAUGAUCCACAUGCAGGGCCCGCAGAUUACUUUUCUUUCUCUUUUUUUUUUUUACGAAAAAGUCUUGAUUUAUUUGUUAUUGAAAUUGCUUUUAGUUAAUUGCAUGCAGUGUUGAUUAUCAUAUAUAUGGUCAAUAUUGCUGCAUGGUCCAAAAUGUUUGUUGAGUCCCAGACAUUGGUUGAUUUUUUCUAGUCAUGUCUCCGUCUCUGUCUCUAUCUUACUAGUUUUUCUCCUAGGUCUAUUAAUUUAUUAUUGAUCUUGAUUUAAACUACUCAUGGAAGUUGAUAGAUAAA